AUGGCAGACAUGAACUUGUUACCCUGGAUCAAUUGCUGCCUAGAGGCUGGUGAGAACUUAUUAGUGCCAACCAUGGUUGUACAAUUCAAAGGAUCAGAAUAAUUAUCUGGUGCUCACAUGCCCUGAAUUGGUUAAAUCACAAAUGAAGAGACAGUAAGAUCCAACUUCAUUUACAUUUAGAAUUUCAGAAUUUCAGAUUAUGUCUAUGCAUAUUUUGAAAGCGUCAAUGUCUCAAACUGCAAAGUAGUGAUUUAUGUGUCAAUAAUGCUAUGUUUAUGUCAUGAAUCUAUCAUGGUAUAUGAAACUAGAAUCAAUAUUUUAAA
Momordica charantia (bitter melon) is the source of this 323-nucleotide non-coding RNA. The record is from RefSeq and is a predicted model, not a curated record. Lineage: Eukaryota; Viridiplantae; Streptophyta; Magnoliopsida; Cucurbitales; Cucurbitaceae.